UCUGGUUGAUCCUGCCGGAGGCUACCGCUAUUGGAGUUCGAUUAAGCCAUGCGAGUCGCGAGUCUUAGGGACUCGGCGUACCGCUCAGUAACACGUGGGUAACCUGCCCUAUGCUGGGGGAUAACCUCGGGAAACUGAGAAUAAUACCCCAUAGUUCACCACGCCUGGAACGGUGGGUGGAUGAAAGCUCCGGCGGCAUAGGAUGGGCCUGCGGCGUAUCAGGUUGUAGGGGGUGUAAUGUACCCUCUAGCCAUCUACGCGUACGGGUGUUGGGAGACAUCGCCCGGAGAUGGAUUCUGAGACACGAAUCCAGACCCUACGGGGUGCAGCAGGCGCGAAAACUUGGCAAUGCGAGCAAUCGUGACCAGGGAACUCCAAGUGCAUCGGGUAAGACCGAUGCUUUUCUUGACUCUUCAAAGGUCUUGGAAUAAGGGGUGGGUAAGGACGGUGCCAGCCGCCGCGGUAAUACCGGCGCCUCAAGUGGUAGUCGCUUUUAUUGGGCCGAAAACGUCCGUAGCCGGUUUGGUACAUUCGUGGGUAAAUCAAGGCGCUCAACGUCUUGAAUUCUGCGAGCACGGCCAGACUUGGGACCGGGUGAGGUGUGGGGUACUCUCAGGGUAGGGGUAAAAUCCUGUCAUCCUGAGAGGACCACCUGUUGCGAAGGCGCCACACUAGAACGGAUCCGACGGUCAGGGACGAAGCCUAGGGGCACGAACCGGAUUAGAUACCCGGGUAGUCC
RNAcentral lists this ribosomal RNA (739 nucleotides) under uncultured Candidatus Poseidoniales archaeon. RNAcentral describes it as "bacterial SSU rRNA". It matches the Rfam family "Archaeal small subunit ribosomal RNA", at positions 1 to 747 of the family's 1478-position model. Lineage: Archaea; Methanobacteriati; Thermoplasmatota; Candidatus Poseidoniia; Candidatus Poseidoniales. The record is from RNAcentral.